GGGUUUAAAGGGUGCGCAGGCGGAUUGGUAAGUCAGGGGUGAAAUCCCACAGCUCAACUGUGGAACUGCCUUUGAUACUGUCAGUCUAGAGUAUAGUUGAAGUUGGCGGAAUGUGUCAUGUAGCGGUGAAAUGCUUAGAUAUGACACAGAACACCGAUCGCGAAGGCAGCUAGCUAAGCUAUAACUGACGCUCAUGCACGAAAGCGUGGGGAUCAAACAGGAUUAGAUACCCUGGUAGUCCACGCUGUAAACGAUGAUUACUCGAUGUUGGCGAUACACAGUCAGCGUCUGAGCGAAAGCAAUAAGUAAUCCACCUGGGGAGUACGAUCGCAAGAUUGAAACUCAAAGGAAUUGACGGGGGCCCGCACAAGCGGAGGAGCAUGUGGUUUAAUUCGAUGAUACGCGAGGAACCUUACCUGGGCUCGAACGUAAGAUGACUGUAGGUGAAAGCUUACAUCUCUUCGGAGCAUUUUACGAGGUGCUGCAUGGUUGUCGUCAGCUCGUGCCGUGAGGUGUCGGGUUAAGUCCCAUAACGAGCGCAACCCCUACCUUUAGUUGCCAUCAGGUCAUGCUGGGGACUCUAAAGGAACUGCCUACGCAAGUAGUGAGGAAGGCGGGGAUGACGUCAAAUCAGCACGGCCCUUACGUCCAGGGCUACACACGUGCUACAAUGGCCGAUACAGAGGGCAGCUACCUGGUGACAGGAUGCAAAUCUCCAAAGUCGGUCUCAGUUCGGAUCGGAGUCUGCAACCCGACUCCGUGAAGUUGGAUUCGCUAGUAAUCGCGCAUCAGCCAUGGCGCGGUGAAUACGUUCCCGGGCCUUGUACACACCGCCCGUCAAGCCAUGGAAGCUGGGGGGACCUAAAGUCGAUAACCGCAAGGAGUCGCCUAGGGUAAAACCAGUGACUGGGGCUAAGUCGUAACAAGGUAGCCG
Molecule: ribosomal RNA, 934 nt
Filed under: uncultured Lentimicrobium sp.
Lineage: Bacteria; Pseudomonadati; Bacteroidota; Bacteroidia; Bacteroidales; Lentimicrobiaceae
Description: bacterial SSU rRNA
Rfam family: Bacterial small subunit ribosomal RNA
Source: RNAcentral